RNAcentral lists this long non-coding RNA (865 nucleotides) under Pomacea canaliculata. RNAcentral's name for it is "uncharacterized LOC112574614, transcript variant X1". Lineage: Eukaryota; Metazoa; Mollusca; Gastropoda; Architaenioglossa; Ampullariidae. The record is from RNAcentral.
UGAAUGGUGUGAUCAGAUUUCGUCGACACCGCGGAAAGCAAGGAAUGGCGCCCCUGAGGGUCCGCCCAAUACACUGGCAGCCAGUGAUCCUACACAGCGUUCACCCCGGAGGUGUGCCUCCUGCGUGCAUACCUUUCACUCUUACACUAAACACCCAUAAUGAUCGAACACAGAAGUCGAUUCUAUACACGACAGCCUGGCUUAGCUAAACGGCUCACACUUUCGCCCUUCUGACUCUGGCUAGAGGUGAUAUACUUCAGUACUCACACAGCUCAAACGGAGGACAAAAGCUGGGUACAGACAGCCUCGGAUCUGUCCAUGCUUUCCUUUUUCAGAGAGUGGACAGAAUAUCCAAUCUUGGCUCAAGGCUUACAUUUGCCACUGAGAUGAUGCGCUGGUAGAAACGAUCGACGCCUAAAACCAUCGAUCCUGACUGUUGAAGAAAUGAGACCGUCUAAGAGGAGGGACUGCACUGACAAAAAGACUGACAUAUUCGGUGAUCCCAACGUGAUUCACAUGGCGAUCUGUGCCGAUGUGACGUGACCUCCACCAUGAUCAAAGACACACUUUGCCUCCGAGGUGAGAGAGAUUGUAAUUGCUUUUUCUGGUUUCCUCGCGCUGAGAUAAAUUGCAUUGUAAAUUGUUUCUUCCCCGUCUCCAACUCUACAGGUCUGUUAGGAACUGAACAACAGCAAGCUUUGCCAUCGGGACAUUACUUGCUGGUUAAUUUUGUCCUGCUUUGAAAGCAGAUAUAAAUGUGACAGCUCCCAAGCUGACUGAAAUCUUCAAGCAAGUUUGGGAAUCAGGGCAGCUCCCUGUUGCUUGGAAGACAGGGCUCAUCUUCAAGUUACCCAAGAAAGGAGAU